This 497-nucleotide ribosomal RNA is filed under the name uncultured bacterium. RNAcentral's name for it is "partial 16S ribosomal RNA". It matches the Rfam family "Bacterial small subunit ribosomal RNA", at positions 28 to 507 of the family's 1533-position model. The record is from RNAcentral.
GAUGAACGCUGGCGGCGUGCCUAAUACAUGCAAGUCGAGCGAACAGACGAGGAGCUUGCUCCUCUGACGUUAGCGGCGGACGGGUGAGUAACACGUGUAUAACCUACCUAUAAUACUGGUAUAACUUCGGGAAACCGGAGCUAAUACCGGAUAAUAUAUUGAACCGCAUUGUUCAAUAGUUAAAUUCGGUUUUUCUGUCACUUAUAGCUUGAUCCGCGCCGCAUUAGCUAGUUGGUAAGGUAACGGCUUACCAAGGCAACGAUGGGUAGCCGACCUGAGAGGGGGAUAGGAGACACGGGAACUGAGACACGGACAAGAGGACUACGGGAGGCAGCAGAAGGGAAUGGGACGCAAUGGGGGAAAGAAUGACGGAGCAAGGCGGAGUGAGAGAUGAAGGUGUUAGGAGCGUAAAACACUGUUAUGAGGGAAGAACAAAUGUGUAAGUAAAUAAGCAGGGAGUGACGGUAACGAAUAAGAAAGCCACGGCUAACUACGUG